This 68-nucleotide transfer RNA is filed under the name Cercocebus torquatus (collared mangabey). RNAcentral's name for it is "tRNA-Asp". Lineage: Eukaryota; Metazoa; Chordata; Mammalia; Primates; Cercopithecidae. RNAcentral also lists the same sequence under 1 other name. The record is from RNAcentral.
AAGAUAUUAGAAAAACUAUUUCAUGGCUUUGUCAAAGCUAAAUCAUAGGUCAAACCCUAUAUAUCUUA